AGAACGAACGCUGGCGGCAUGCCUAAUACAUGCAAGUCGAACGAACUCUUCGGAGUUAGUGGCGCACGGGUGCGUAACGCGUGGGAAUCUGCCCCUUGGUUCGGAAUAACAGUUGGAAACGACUGCUAAUACCGGAUGAUGACGAAGGUCCAAAGAUUUAUCGCCAAGGGAUGAGCCCGCGUAGGAUUAGCUAGUUGGUGAGGUAAAGGCUCACCAAGGCAACGAUCCUUAGCUGGUCUGAGAGGAUGAUCAGCCACACUGGGACUGAGACACGGCCCAGACUCCUACGGGAGGCAGCAGUAGGGAAUAUGGACAAUGGGCGAAAGCCUGAUCCAGCAAUGCCGCGUGAGUGAUGAAGGCCUUAGGUUGUAAAGCUCUUUUACCGAGAUGAUAAUGACAGUAUCGGAGAAUAAGCCCCGGCUAACUCCGUGCCAGCAGCCGC
Molecule: ribosomal RNA, 442 nt
Filed under: uncultured soil bacterium
Lineage: Bacteria
Description: bacterial SSU rRNA
Rfam family: Bacterial small subunit ribosomal RNA
Source: RNAcentral